This 765-nucleotide long non-coding RNA is filed under the name Gorilla gorilla gorilla (western lowland gorilla). RNAcentral's name for it is "lncRNA (ENSGGOG00000044692.1)". Lineage: Eukaryota; Metazoa; Chordata; Mammalia; Primates; Hominidae. The record is from RNAcentral.
UUUUUGUUCAUUUAUCAUAGGUUACAGACCACCCUGGAAAAGAAGAGUUUUGUUCUCCUCCCUAUGCUCAUUAUGAAGUCCCUCCAACUUUCUAUCGGUCAGCCAUGCUCCUUAAGCCCCAGCUAGGAUUGGGUGCAAUGUCCCGUUUACCAUCUGCAAAGAGCAGGAUUCUGAUUGCAAGUCAGAGGUCUUCAGCGAGCGCCAUCCACCCACCAGGACCCAUAACAACAGCCACCAGUCUCUACAGUUCCGAUCCUUCAGAUUUAAAGAAAGCUUCCAGUUCAAAUGCUGCAAAAUCCAAUCUCCCGAAAUCUGGUCUCCGUCCUCCCGGAUACUCACGUCUCCCGGCAGCCAAACUGGCGGCAUUUGGCUUUGUCCGGAGCUCCAGCGUCUCCUCAGUCUCCAGCACCCAGUCCGGGGACAGUGCACAGCCAGAGCAGGGCCGGCCAGCCACCCGUUCAACCUUUGGGAAUGAAGAACAGCCAGUUCUGAAGGCAUCUCUGCCUUCUAAGGACACACCCAAGGGGGCCGGCCGGGUGGCCCCUCCAGCAUCCUCCAGUGUGACAGCACCCCGCAGGAGUUUACUUCCAGCGCCAAAAUCCACUUCCACACCUGCUGGAACAAAGAAAGAUGCUCAGAAAGAUCAAGAUACAAAUAAACCUGCUGUUUCAUCUCCUAAGAGAGUAGCAGCUUCAACCACCAAGCUUCAUUCACCAGGUAUGUAAGAAAUAUGAUGUGUUACUUGGGGGGAUGACUUGAACUUGG